Sorghum bicolor (sorghum) is the source of this 1912-nucleotide RNA transcript. RefSeq lists it as uncharacterized. The transcript has 8 exons. The record is from RefSeq and is a predicted model, not a curated record. NCBI's taxonomy places the organism in Eukaryota, Viridiplantae, Streptophyta, Magnoliopsida, Poales, Poaceae.
AAAGGCAAUAAAUUCUACAUUUUGAAUGAAACUAAACAUAACCUAGAAAAUUUUAGCAUCUUGUACUUCAUCAUUCCAAUUGAUAUUUUAUAUUUUAUGGAAAACUAAACAUGUCCUAGGUGGUGGAACUUCUGUCGCUUGUGAAUUUUGUUAUCACCUUUGUUCCAUGGAUUAUGCUUCUGUUGCCUAUACGAGACUGACAUGUGUGGCCACCGGCAUCCAGCACUCCAGCGUUUUUAUUUGUGAGCCCUCUCAGACGCCAGCCAACUCCGCAGCCCAACCAUUUCCAGCCUCAGUUACCCCAGGCCCGGCCCACUUCCUUCCCCACGCCAUCUCUCUCUCUCCCUCUCAUCGCCGCCGUCUCACAUACCGCCGCCGUCGUGCGCGUGCGCCGGAACGCCCGCGAGGAUCCCUCCCACCCCACCGCCCCCGCGGCCCGCGCAGGCAGCGGCCGCAGCUUGUCCGCGCGAAGAUGCUGGGGUUCUCGACCGGCCAGCUGCUGGUCAUCCUCGGGGCCUGCUCCGUCAUGAUGAAGCCUAGUGACAUGGUGAAGAUUGCGAGGACGGCCGGGAGGAUGACGGGGAGAGCGGUGGGGCGGCUCAUAGUGGCUCGCCGGCAGCUGGACGAGAUUCUGGGGCAGUCUGCAGCCACCCAGGUUCAUAAGGAGCUUAAAGAUGCUAUGACACAAUUAGACUCGAUUCGUUAUGAAGUCCAGAACUUAUCUAGAUUAACUCCUGGGCAGUUUAUGAUGAAGCAACAUAAUACUGGCAUGGCUGAAGCAGGGAAAUCUGACUCUGAUGAUGGUCCUACAACUAACCAAGAAAAAUUUCGUCAGGAAAUUCGCAGUAUAAUUCGUGAUGAAAUUAAAAACUUUGUGAGCACAACUGAAGCUAGAAAACUUGAUGUGGCUGAUGAACCAAUGACACUGGAAUCCAAGCCAAGCAAUGACGUAUGCAAGGCUAUCUGAAGCCCCAGGACUUAAGAUGGGUUCUUCCUUGAGUGGGAACUACCAAGAGCAAUUCAAGGAAAGCAAUGGGCUGUUAAAUGUACUGCCAAUAUCAGCUGAAAGUGCUGGAUUACUUCCAAGCCGCCCAGAUGGACCAACGGGCUCAGACCUAGUCCUUGAGGCUGUGCUUGAAGCGGAAGUUGCAGAGAAUGCUAAACUGUUUGUCUCGCAGCCUCAUGAUCAGUUACCUAAGGAAUGAAGGUGAAGAUGAUGUGCUUGAAGAUGUUGCAAACAGGACCAAACUGUUCAUCUAAGAGCCUCAUAGUCAGUUGCCCAUGGAGUGAUGAUGCUGUUUUUGAUCCUUAACUGGAUUUGACAUACUACUUGCACAUUGGAUUUUGUAGAACAGAGCAUCGUGGAUCACCAUUGAGCAUGUACUUAUCGGUGGCUCUCUCGGCCAGGCAUAACUUAUUGCAGAUAGUGUGGUAUCUUGAGUUGAGUGGCACAGAUGGUCCAGUACUCUAACGCUAACAUCAAACUACAUUGUCUCUGCUUUGGAAACAAUGUAUGAUGCCUUGUGGAAGCUGAAAGCAUGUCCUGAAUGGCUACCGGAGUUCUGAGGUGUUGUUAGACAGGAUGAAAAUGCAUUGGCUUGACAUACAGCCUUUUCUGUUUUCAUUGUAGAUAGCUCUGGUUGCUACUGUCUUCUUCUGUAAAAGCAAUUAUUGAUCUUCAUGGCAUUACUUUAGCUUAUGUGUAGUAGUUGAUUGAUUCGGAGAAGUAUUUGAAUGUUGAACUAGGUUAUAUCUGGUCCUUGGGGGCUUGGAGGUGUGCAUAUCCAAUACCUUAAAUAAGAGGUACUUGAAACUAUUUCACAGGUGUUAUGCUGGCAUUGGUGGUUGUUGCUUGCUUGCUUUAUGGGCAUUUCACUGUCUUUUAAUGCCACAAAUAAGUAAUUUUAUUUGA